UAGUGCAUUAAAUCAGUUAUCGUUUAUUUGAUAGUACCUUACUACUUGGAUACCUGUGGUAAUUCUAGAGCUAAUACAUGCUAAAAACCUCGACUUCGGAAGGGGUGUAUUUAUUAGAUAAAAAACCAAUGCCCUUCGGGGCUCCUUGGUGAUUCAUAAUAACUUAACGAAUCGCAUGGCCUUGAGCCGGCGAUGGUUCAUUCAAAUUUCUGCCCUAUCAACUUUCGAUGGUAGUAUAGUGGACUACCAUGGUUUCUACGGGUAACGGGGAAUUAGGGUUCUAUUCCGGAGAGGGAGCCUGAGAAACGGCUACCACAUCCAAGGAAGGCAGCAGGCGCGCAAAUUACCCAAUGGCGACACGGGGAGGUAGUGACAAUAAAUACUGAUCCAGGGCUCUAAAGGGUCUUGGAAUUGGAAUGAGUACAAUUUAAAUCCCUUAACGAGGAACAAUUGGAGGGCAAGUCUGGUGGACACUUGAGUGUUCCAGUAGGUCAAGAUAUGUAUUAUCGGGGUGCUGACGCCAGUUAUAGAUUGAUCUCUGGGCCGUUCAAGGCCUUCGAGAUUGGUUUAGUAGGGGUCUAUCCUCUGCGAGGUACUUGGUACGGGGAAGGGUCUCCUAGAGGCUUCAUCCCGUGGCUCAAGGCUUUCGAGCCUUGGGCCUUAACGCGCGCCAAGGUACCGGUCGACCUCCUUGGAGGUUGAUUUGAGGUACGUGCUAAUCCCGCCUGUUAUGGGUGUGAUGUGCUUUAUCAGAAGGCAUCUUAGGGACAAUUAAUGGCCAGCAGCCGCGGUAAUUCCAGCUCCAAUAGCGUAUAUUAAAGUUGUUGCAGUUAAAAAGCUCGUAGUUGAA
Molecule: ribosomal RNA, 850 nt
Filed under: uncultured fungus
Lineage: Eukaryota; Fungi
Description: bacterial SSU rRNA
Rfam family: Eukaryotic small subunit ribosomal RNA
Source: RNAcentral